CCUCCCUUCUUAGCACGCUUGUUUGUUUUGGUGUGUAUGUAAUGGAGGAAUACUGUAUUACAGUCCUGUGCGAUGUCUUCAGUGCCGAAAUGUCAACAGUCUUCUGGUUCUAUCGUCAAUCACUUGUGCAUUC
Small nucleolar RNA from Entelurus aequoreus (snake pipefish), 133 nucleotides. RefSeq annotates it as small nucleolar RNA SNORA57. Lineage: Eukaryota; Metazoa; Chordata; Actinopteri; Syngnathiformes; Syngnathidae. The record is from RefSeq and is a predicted model, not a curated record. The transcript has a single exon.